UACGUAGGGUCCGAGCGUUGUCCGGAAUUAUUGGGCGUAAAGGGCUCGUAGGCGGUUUGUCGCGUCGGGAGUGAAAACACGGGGCUUAACCCCGUGCCUGCUUCCGAUACGGGCAGACUAGAGGUAUGCAGGGGAGAACGGAAUUCCUGGUGUAGCGGUGAAAUGCGCAGAUAUCAGGAGGAACACCGGUGGCGAAGGCGGUUCUCUGGGCAUUACCUGACGCUGAGGAGCGAAAGCCAGGGGAGCAAACGGG
This 253-nucleotide ribosomal RNA is filed under the name uncultured bacterium. Its description in RNAcentral is "partial 16S ribosomal RNA". It matches the Rfam family "Bacterial small subunit ribosomal RNA", at positions 524 to 776 of the family's 1533-position model. The record is from RNAcentral.